GAUGAACGCUGGCGGCGUGCCUAAUACAUGCCAGUCGAGCGAACAGACGAGGAGCUUGCUCCUUCGACGUUAGCGGCGGACGGGUGAGUAACACGUAGGUAACCUACCUAUAAGACUGGGAUAACUUCGGGAAACCGGAGCUAAUACCGGAUAAUAUUUCGAACCGCAUGGUUCGAUAGUGAAAGAUGGCUUUGCUAUCACUUAUAGAUGGACCUGCGCCGUAUUAGCUAGUUGGUAAGGUAACGGCUUACCAAGGCAACGAUACGUAGCCGACCUGAGAGGGUGAUCGGCCACACGGGAACUGAGACACGGUCCAGACUCCUACGGGAGGCAGCAGGAGGGAAUCUUCCGCAAUGGGCGAAAGCCUGACGGAGCAACGCCGCGGGAGUGAAGAAGGUCUUCGGAUCGUAAAACUCUGUUAUUAGGGAAAAACAAACGUGUAAGUAACUGUGCACGUCUUGACGGUACCUAAUCAGAAAGCCACGGCUAACUACGU
This 496-nucleotide ribosomal RNA is filed under the name uncultured bacterium. Its description in RNAcentral is "partial 16S ribosomal RNA". It matches the Rfam family "Bacterial small subunit ribosomal RNA", at positions 28 to 506 of the family's 1533-position model. The record is from RNAcentral.